UGAACGGUUGGAUGAAUCUAAUGCUUCAAACAUAGCCACGUGUCUCUAUUUUUUUCUCAAAUAAAAAAAUAAAAAAUAAAAAAUGGUAAACCUCUCAUUGUACCACCGUCCUUGACUCACACCACCACCUUCGUCAUUUAAUCGACCGUCAUUGUUGCAUCCCCACCAGCGUUCACUUGCAAAUGUCGUUGUCAUUAAAUCAAUCUUAAGAUUUAGAUGAUACUGUUUUUUAAUUUUAAAUAAAAAUGAAAGGACAAAUUGAACACUGUGGAUAGCAUUUUCAUCUCCUCCACCACUCUACGAGAGUCCAAGAUAAUCGACAAAAUGUGACCAUCAUGCACUCCGACCACCGGUGCCAUCUCAAUCGGACAUUGGAAAUAGUCUGAGAAUGUUUUUGUUGCAGCUGCUACAAGGUGAGAGCACAUAUGAUAUAGGUCAACGAUGAUGGCAGAUGAACCGUAGUGGAGAUGCAACAAUGGUCGAUUUAACGACGGAGGCGGUGGUGUGAGUCAACGAGGGUGAUACAAUGGAGGUUGAUUUGGAUGUCUAACUUUGUGGCUGGAAAGGUACUUUCCCUUUCAUUCUUUGUGAACGGUUGGAUGAAUCUAAUGCUUCAAACAUAGCCACGUGUCUCUAUUUUUUUCUCAAAUAAAAAAAUAAAAAAUAAAAAAUGGUAAACCUCUCAUUGUACCACCGUCCUUGACUCACACCACCACCUUCGUCAUUUAAUCGACCGUCAUUGUUGCAUCCCCACCAGCGUUCACUUGCAAAUGUCGUUGUCAUUAAAUCAAUCUUAAGAUUUAGAUGAUACUGUUUUUUAAUUUUAAAUAAAAAUGAAAGGACAAAUUGAACACUGUGGAUAGCAUUUUCAUCUCCUCCACCACUCUACGAGAGUCCAAGAUAAUCGACAAAAUGUGACCAUCAUGCACUCCGACCACCGGUGCCAUCUCAAUC
Molecule: long non-coding RNA, 954 nt
Filed under: Cicer arietinum (chickpea)
Lineage: Eukaryota; Viridiplantae; Streptophyta; Magnoliopsida; Fabales; Fabaceae
Description: long non-coding RNA (CARI_LNC001965)
Source: RNAcentral